GACGAACGCUGGCGGCGUGCUUAACACAUGCAAGUCGAACGGAGAGGCCCUGCUUUUGUGGGGUGCUCGAGUGGCGAACGGGUGAGUAACACGUGGGUAACCUGCCCUUGACUUUGGGAUAACUUCAGGAAACUGGGGCUAAUACCGGAUAGGAGCUCCUGCUGCAUGGUGGGGGUUGGAAAGUUUCGGCGGUUGGGGAUGGACUCGCGGCUUAUCAGCUUGUUGGUGGGGUAGUGGCUUACCAAGGCUUUGACGGGUAGCCGGCCUGAGAGGGUGACCGGCCACAUUGGGACUGAGAUACGGCCCAGACUCCUACGGGAGGCAGCAGUGGGGAAUAUUGCACAAUGGGCGGAAGCCUGAUGCAGCAACGCCGCGUGCGGGAUGACGGCCUUCGGGUUGUAAACCGCUUUCGCCUGUGACGAAGCGUGAGUGACGGUAAUGGGUAAAGAAGCACCGGCUAACUACGUG
Molecule: ribosomal RNA, 468 nt
Filed under: uncultured bacterium
Lineage: Bacteria
Description: partial 16S ribosomal RNA
Rfam family: Bacterial small subunit ribosomal RNA
Source: RNAcentral